Molecule: long non-coding RNA, 1293 nt
Organism: Mastomys coucha (southern multimammate mouse)
Lineage: Eukaryota; Metazoa; Chordata; Mammalia; Rodentia; Muridae
Exons: 3
Source: RefSeq, a predicted model, not a curated record
GCAGCGAAGAAUGCAAAGGAAAGGAAAACUGUCAUUGUACUGCCAGCACUCGCCUUCCGUGCCUCCUGCAAAGCUUGCUCCUCUCUUCUGACCUUUAAACUAGUUAUUUAUUUCAGGCUUUAAGAAGAAGAAAAGAAUCAAAGGAUCAAAUUAUCAAGGAAAUUACCAUAAUUUGUCACUCAAAGCAACAUAUCAUGUGCAUACUAAGUAGUAUUUUGAAAGCACCUUUUGGGAUAUGGAUUUUAAAUGAAGCUGGUUUCUUGGUCAGAAUGCAGCUGUUCACAUUCUCCCCCACAAAGUGAUGGGCAUCACCUACACAACCACAAGAGUAAAGCAGACUGGGAAAGCAUCGCUUAUAUUGAAAAAAAUCAUCCAUACAGAGACCAGUGUCCGAAAACAACGCCUGUAAAUGCUCUGUUAAGAACUAAGUGCAGCUGAAAACUGGCAAGGAGUGAAUGGAGGAGUAGGAGGUCUCUAGAGCAGCGCCACUGUGCUCCCAAAUGACCAUGACGGUUGGAAGUCUGUUCUCUGUGUGUCAGAACCUGUUGUCCAUGUGAACUUUCCAAUCUGAACAAAUAAAGGGGAAAUGCAGUUUCCAUGGGGACGCAGGGAUAUCUAGGAAGAGGUGAACUGACCAAGUCUAAAAGGAAAAAAAAAAAAAGAAUGAUUCAAGGUUUUUGCUAGAAAAACUAAAAUCCACAGUACUGGAAAUGCUAGUGUCAAUCUAGAUAAAACGUCCACAGAUUAGGCACAAGCAGGUAAUAAACCCAAAAAUGUCUUUAAAACCUUUUCUUAAGCUCCAGUUUCAGGGCAGCAGAGGGUUUGGGGAGUUCCCACUUACUGAGGUUAUCAUGCUCAGGGGCCAUGGAUCUGGCCAAGGGUGACAGUUGUCUCCCGUUCUUGAGAAGUAUUGUGCAACUCCGGGAGUGAUAGGAAGAACAAGCCAUUACAAUUCCUUUCUCCCUUACCUCCAAACAUUUUAUAAUUCUAAGGAGACAAUCACAUUAAAUUAAAGACUGGGAAAGGCUGGUUUUGAAACCUGGAGUAAUGGCAUACAGGCUGUAAGUCAUAUCUACACGUAGUUCUCUAAAUGCUGGCAUUUCCAUUGAAAGCAGGGACCCCUGUAAAUAGGUACUUAAUGACACUUACUAUGCCUUUAUUGCUUUUUUUUUUUUUGUGGAGCUUUCUUGAUUUCAAUAAAGCACUGUAAGUGUUCAUAACCUCCUCUUCAUAUCUCUCACUAUCUUGUGUUUCUAAUUGCUUAUUUGAUUCAUUUGUUUUGUUUCUCACCCU